Non-coding RNA from Geobacter sulfurreducens PCA, 356 nucleotides. It matches the Rfam family "transfer-messenger RNA". Rfam says of the family: Bacterial tmRNA, also known as 10Sa RNA or SsrA, is named for its dual tRNA and mRNA-like properties. Its role is to liberate the mRNA from a stalled ribosome. NCBI's taxonomy places the organism in Bacteria, Pseudomonadati, Thermodesulfobacteriota, Desulfuromonadia, Geobacterales, Geobacteraceae. The record is from Rfam.
GGGGGUGUACAGGUUUCGACGGGGAUAGGAAGCUGAUGGUUGCAUGCCGAGGUCCGGGCUGGCCUCGUUAAAAAGCCCGGGGCGAAUUACACGCCGAUAAUUACGACUACGCUGUAGCAGCUUAAUAACCUGCUACCGAUCCGCUGAGCCUCUCCCACGGGUGAAGAUGGAUCGUCAUUUUAGUGGGAUAGUUGCGGGGAGGGUCCACGGCCCCAAGGCGAAACCUUAGUGGAAUCGCUUCCCGGAAAUCCCUGCCAGGGGAGAGUCGGGCGGCUAAAUCAAAUCCUGGUAUAAGCAUGUAGACGCCUUCGGUGUAUGAUCUUCGGACGCGGGUUCGACUCCCGCCACCUCCACCA